Molecule: long non-coding RNA, 832 nt
Organism: Oryzias latipes (Japanese medaka)
Lineage: Eukaryota; Metazoa; Chordata; Actinopteri; Beloniformes; Adrianichthyidae
Source: RefSeq, a predicted model, not a curated record
ACCUGGAGGCGACCUGCAGAUCUGGAAUCGAGUGGCCCCCGCUUCCAGUUUCUGAUUUCUCAUCUUCGGCGGAUUUUUGCUGCUCGGCUAAACUCGGAUCCAACACGCCACUAUGGUCAGGUGCCUCUAUGAUGUCAUCAGGGAGGACCAUCUUCACCUGUGGCUACAGGAGCGUCUUGAUUCAGGACGGGAGGCCCCGCCUCUCCGUCCCACCCUCUAGCGAUGACCAGCAGUUUGGCCAUCUUCAUGAGCGUUUUCUUCUUGAACCGUCGGCCCGGUCUGUGCUUCUGCUGCUGCAGCAACUCAUUCAGAACCAACUGAAGGGCCUUCUGCUCCUUCUUCUCUGAGUUCCUGGUGUCGUCCUCAUUGGACGCUCUCUCUGUGGGGGUCUGCUCCUGAGGAGGGUGGGGGGCUUCCCCCUCUGGCUGUGUGAGGUUUGGAUCCAUGCCAGGUUCAUAGUGAUGAUCCAGAACUUCAGGAGCUUCUUCAGGACCAUCAGAGUCUCCCUGCAUACUGCCAGCAGCUUUAUCUCCAACAGAAGUCAUGCCUUCAAGGGCGGUGGGGGCUUCUCCGCUCGGACAUGAAGCAGCAGAGGUCUGCAGCUCGCCGCCAGUCUGCAAACGGAAACAAAAGGGUUAAAAAUGCUGGUAAACAAAAGAACGUGUUUGUCUUUUAUUCUAACUUCUGAGUUUAAUGUCACACAGAGAGGUCCCCCAGUCAACGAGAGCACUAACCACUGCGCCACUGUGCAGCCCGCCUCUAAAGAACUAAAAAGUCAACAGACAUGAAGUUUGGAAUCCUGGAAAAAAUAAAAACAAGCAUCAGAAACAAA